RNAcentral lists this long non-coding RNA (5259 nucleotides) under Triticum aestivum (bread wheat). Its description in RNAcentral is "long non-coding RNA (TAES_LNC011675)". The record is from RNAcentral. Lineage: Eukaryota; Viridiplantae; Streptophyta; Magnoliopsida; Poales; Poaceae.
GAUAGAGCGUUGUCUGCUGUGUUCGGCGCGGCCGGAGUAGUUGUAUCCGGAGCGACGGUAUUCGUCGUGGGUCUUGGGGCGCCCACAUGAUCCAUAGAUAGAUCUGGAUUGUCUUGCCUUGUCCUCCAAUAUAUCCCGCAAGUCCGGCGCGUUCCCCCAUGGCUUUUGUGACACCCCAAAAUUUUGACCUUGUUUCAUUAAUUAAAAUUUUGCCAGGAAACUAAAACUUUGAUUUUCUGGGCUCCCUUUUUGAUUUUUGAACCUUUUCUCCCUUGCUAUUAUGGAGUUUUCCCCAAAGAGAAAACUUUUCAAAUAUGUUAUUGGACUUGUUUAACCUCUCAAGAAAAACUUUUCUUUUAUUAGUAGAACUAAUUACAUAAUUAAUCUGCUUGAUCUUUAUUUUCUUGAAAAAUAGUUUUUCAAGGUUAUAUGGCCAUAUUUGAACUACAACCAUUUGAUAUAUUUAUCUAAAAAUCCAACCAAAAUUUGGAGAUGUCAUGUGAUGUUUUUGAAUCAAUUUUAUACAAAAAUAUCUCUUAUUCUUGAAAUAUUUUGAGCUCUACACCCAAUUUUCUUCUCUGGUCCAGAGAGCAACCUUGCACUACAACCCUUUUAAAAAAUUCUUUCUAGCCUCCACCAAAAUUAUGGGAUGUCAGUAGAAGCAUAUUAUUCAGCUUUAUGCAAAAACCCAGCUAUGUUAUUUGAAAAAUUUGAGUGAAUCAUCCUCAUUUCCAUUCUGGUCCAACUUGAGGUUUUGUACUACAACUAUACUUUAACUUGCUCCUUUUGCUGUGAUUCCUUUUCCUACUUGUAGAUCACCCUACUAAACCCCUAAGUCCAGGAGAGUGGACCCAUUGGAUGAUUCUAAGUGCUUGCAACAAUGCCUUUUGCUUUCUGUACAGAAUUGAAGUUUUGCAAAACUUGCACUAGCAAGUGUCUCCUUUAUGCAAACUAACUUCACCACUCCCUCUUGCGUCCAAAGAGACACUGACCUGGAAGAUUUGGCCCCUCCAAGAAUAGCCUAGGUGCCUUUGGCAUUUUGACAAACACCUAGAGUGCAUGGGCUGAAUUGGCAUGAUCUCAAGCCUACAUUGUGAACUUGACCACAUGACCAAACCAACUUGUCCCUUGAGUUUCCCUCUACCUAUAACCUAGUUCUGUGGCUUGCCAGACUCACCGGUGACCUGUAGCAUGCCACGACAUUACCCCGAACACCUUCAGUGCAUGCUCUGGACGCGCCCAGAGCACGCGUAUUGCAGCCGCGCGCCCGAGCCGACACGCUGGCCCCCACGGCCUUGGCCCGCUCUGCAGCACCACGCCACGCGCUCCCCUCCUUGCAGCAACGCGCCAAGCCACCCUGGCAGCCUACAGCGCCGCCGACAGAGCUUUUGGCGGCACACCGACGACCAUAGCGCGCCCCUGCCACGGUCGGCACCGCCCAAACCACCCCGGCCCGCCACCUGCCCCUUGGCACAGCCCAAGCUCAUCCUCAACCUUGCCCGCUAGCUCUCGUCGUCGCCACGACGCCCCGCGGCUACAGAAAGACGGUCGCCGGUGACCUUAUCCGCGGCCACCGUCGGAAUCGACCCCGAACGCCUAUUUAAGGAGGCCCCCGAGCACGUUCCGUUCGCAGGCGGCCUCAGUACACUCCCCUAGUCUCCCCAUUGCAGCCAAUCGACCGGAGGAGGUCGUCUUCCCCACCUCCGGCAGCAGCGGCCGCCGCCAUGGCCCCAGCUCUCCCAGCGCCACCAGGGCCUCUCCCUCCCAAUUCUCUUCGCCAAGAACACCUCCUCCCCUCCAGGAACCCAACCCCCCACUUGAUUUUGAUCGGGAACCACAUUCACCCGAAAACCACUCCAUCACCGAAGCUCCCUCCGCCGCGGAGCUCGCCGCCGACGAACCCCUCCGUCCCUGCCGGCCAGUCGACCACCGGGAGGACCGCCUAGGAGAGGUGGAUCCAUCCCUGGCCUCGGAUGCCCUCGAGGAGCCUCCCUUCGCCGGCGACGAUCGCCGGAGCGCCGCUUCGCUCGGGCAGAGGAGGGAGAAGGGGCGCGGCGACUGGUCAAACCUGACCAGUGGGCCAGGCGGGCCCACUGUCAGCGACCCACCCCGCCGCCACGCGUGUUAAGUGAAAGCGUAAAACCACGAAGUACGUUUCCUCCGCUCGAAAACGUAUUCCAGUCUGAAACGUUUUCUUUUCUAUUUUUAUUUUAAAAACAGAUUUUGACCAAAUCUUUGACUGGCUUUAUCUUUUUAAAUAUAACUCCAAAUGAAUUAAUUCUUUUUCCUACCUCUCUCAAAUAUUGUCUAGUUUAUUUUAAGAUUUAUUUGAAAAAAAUUUAAAACAACUUUUGGUGCGGUUUUUAUUUUGUGUGUUAAUUCUUUAUAUUGCUAAAAUAGGAUUUUUGAAGAGAGGAGAAACUUUCAAAAGUUUUGAAGUACACCCUGACUUACCACACAUUGAAGGCAAGCAUUCUGAAUCCCGGCAUAAUAUUUUGGUGUGAUCGUUGAUACAAUUUUAACACCACCGCAUUUCGAAGGACUUGUUAUUUCAUAUGAUAUGAUCAUAUGCAUGAGUGCAUAAUAGCGGUUUCCAUGCUGUUGGAAAUAAACACACUUAUGAUGAUAAUCAUCCUCAUGUGUCUUGCGUGCAUGCCGGAAAGGAAUCCGGGAAAGCCUCUGCCUUGGGUAGGUACGAGCUUGUCGCCGGCCUCCGUCGGGACGGGUAUGUCCGGUAUGGCAUAGUAAGAUAUAAUGAGUGUUGAUUGGAUUGGUUGAAGUAUAUUUGUUAUAUAUGUUAUGCAGGAAAUUAUAAACCUCCUGAGUCGACCGUAGAACGAGUCUUGUUCCAGCAACCCCCACACUUGUUUCGUGCUACCACUUGUCCCUGCCACAGGUAGGGUACGGUUCAGUAAUUUGUCAACCCCUUUCGUGCACACACCGUACAGAGGGGCCGGGAUGAGGGUACCACGGCCAUGGAUUAAAGCCAGUCAUCCGGUCAGGGGGCAUGGGUGUUUCGGUUGUAGCCGAGGGGGUAGCUCCCCCAGUUUUGCGCACGGUAUAAAUUUUUUUUGAUCCCAUGCUAAUCGAGGUUGUAGCCUCCCCACUUAGAGUUUUGCUUAACGGGUGUCGUGGGUGAUUCCAGACACCGGUAAGUUAAGCUGGUGUGUGCAAGUCAGGUGUGUUUUCAUUUAAAACACCGUAAGCGGAAUUAGUUCCGAUGGACUAAAGGAAAUCCGUUACUCGUGGGUAAAGAGUACACUCUCUGCAGAGAUUAAAACCUAUUCGAAUAGCCGUGUCCAUGGUUAAGGAUUACAGUCUGGGACGGGUCAAGUGUCGGUCUUAGUGUCGGUCUUCGGAGGUGAUAACUGUUAAACCAGAACUGGAAUACUACUGGUGACUUGUGAUAAUUAUGAUUAUUAUUAUUGUUGACUAACCCGUGAUAUUAUUGUUAUUAUCGAGUAUCUCCGGGAUGGUUCUACCUCCGGGAUAUUCACUAUGAUUGUUUAUUUUAAAGCCCUUUAUGCGGUGUCGCUCAGACGCCCGACUGUGGCAUUUAUUUUAAAGCCCUUUAUGUGGUGUCGCUCAGACGCCCGACCGUGGCAUUUCUUUUAAAGCCCUUUAUGUGGUGUCGCUCAGACGCCCGACUGUGGCAUUUCUUUUAAAGCCNNNNNNNNNNNNNNNNNNNNNNNNNNNNNNNNNNNNNNNNNNNNNNNNNNNNNNNNNNNNNNNNNNNNNNNNNNNNNNNNNNNNNNNNNNNNNNNNNNNNNNNNNNNNNNNNNNNNNNNNNNNNNNNNNNNNNNNNNNNNNNNNNNNNNNNNNNNNNNNNNNNNNNNNNNNNNNNNNNNNNNNNNNNNNNNNNNNNNNNNNNNNNNNNNNNNNNNNNNNNNNNNNNNNNNNNNNNNNNUUUUAUUUAUCUUUUGUGACUGACGUCAUGAGCAUAAAUAUUUUCAGCACAUCAUGGUUAUAUUAUACCUGUGUUCAUAAUGUUUGCGAGUACAUUCAAAGUACUCACUGGCUUGUCCCUGGCUAUUGUCUUGGCCAGAUUUUCUUGCACGGAGAGGAGUGACGCGAUGACAGCCCCGGAACCUAAGCAAUGGAGAUAGCAGCCUCGCGAAGAUAGGAGUUAACCUGGUCAGCUGUUCCUGUGGGAAUUGGAGUCCCAUAGACACUGAUGAUCCACAAACCGCUUCCGCCAUCAACCACUAGAAACCAUUUGUUGUACUCACAGGCCAGAAUGGUCUUGUACUGCAUAUUUUGUAUGUUGCUUGGAAUUUCUGUAUCAAGUUGGAGCCUCAUCAGCUAACAGUAAUCCUGGGGCUGAUGAGCACGACGGUCUUUUCUGGAAAUUUAUUACCCGGAAAACCGGUCGUGACAGACUUGGUAUCAGAGCCAGGAUGACCAUUGGCUAAUCCUAUCUUAGCCAGGUCGAAAAACUUAGGCAAACCAACCCAUCAGACCCUAACCAAAAACCCCAGCCAAGCUUCCCGUGCAAGAUAGCCACACAGAGACCCCGACACUUUUGGCAGUCGGUGCCCAGCCUAUCAAUCUAGCCUGUCAGUCACGCGCUAGUAAUCUGUCUUAUUCGCAAGCGUGCGAGGGAAGACUUCGUUCCCUUUUUCUCUAAAAAGGGCACCUAGCCUCAACACAGCACAGCCCCGGCCAUCAUCCAAAAUACCUUGAUGACCCCAGAAAUACUUCGUCGUCUUUGGGGAGCACACUCCAACGGGAUUGUGGCCAACAAUCCACACGAUGGUCAUCAUCGCUGCCCCGAGCCUGCAGCCCCUCAACCCUCUCCAGCUGUUUCCGACAGUGUAAACCGUGGAGAAACCUCGGCAUCCGCGAAGCAAGCCCUCUUAGAUAUGAACGAGGUAGACUAAAAUCGCUCGAAGGAUACCGAGCCUUAGAAUGACCUCGCCUUGCAAUCUUGUGACCCUGUGUCACCAUAAUUAGAUGAUGUCUGCUUGUGCACUCCUGUUUUUAAUAGUAGCCAUGCAUGAGUAUGUUGAUGUGCGAUUGCAUUUUUUUAUCCCGGGCGUAGCUGCCAACCUCGACGACGCAAGUUUGUGCUAUGGAUGAAUCCUUUGGUUCUAGCUCACAGGAAAGGUAUUUUCAAAACAACUCCUAACAAAUCUCGAGGACGAGAUUUUCUUUUAAGGGGGGUAGUGUUGUGGCACCCCAAAAUUUUGACCUUGUUUCAUUAAUUAAAAUUUUGCCAGGAAACUAAAACUUUGAUUUUCUGGGCUCCCUUUUUGAUUU